AAAUUGAAGAGUUUGAUCAUGGCUCAGAUUGAACGCUGGCGGCAGGCCUAACACAUGCAAGUCGAACGGUAACAGGAAGCAGCUUGCUGCUUCGCUGACGAGUGGCGGACGGGUGAGUAAUGUCUGGGAAACUGCCUGAUGGAGGGGGAUAACUACUGGAAACGGUAGCUAAUACCGCAUAACGUCGCAAGACCAAAGGGGGGGACCUUCGGGCCUCUUGCCAUCGGAUGUGCCCAGAUGGGAUUAGCUUGUUGGUGGGGUAACGGCUCACCAAGGCGACGAUCCCUAGCUGGUCUGAGAGGAUGACCAGCCACACUGGAACUGAGACACGGUCCAGACUCCUACGGGAGGCAGCAGUGGGGAAUAUUGCACAAUGGGCGCAAGCCUGAUGCAGCCAUGCCGCGUGUAUGAAGAAGGCCUUCGGGUUGUAAAGUACUUUCAGCGGGGAGGAAGGGAGUAAAGUUAAUACCUUU
RNAcentral lists this ribosomal RNA (473 nucleotides) under Escherichia coli. RNAcentral's name for it is "bacterial SSU rRNA". It matches the Rfam family "Bacterial small subunit ribosomal RNA", at positions 1 to 470 of the family's 1533-position model. The record is from RNAcentral. Lineage: Bacteria; Pseudomonadati; Pseudomonadota; Gammaproteobacteria; Enterobacterales; Enterobacteriaceae.